AUUGAACGCUGGCGGUAUGCUUAACACAUGCAAGUCGAACGGCAGCAUGAUCUGUAGCAAUACAGAUUGAUGGCGAGUGGCGGACGGGUGAGGAACGCGUAGGAACCUGCCUUACAGAGGGGGACAACUAGAGGAAACUCUAGCUAAUACCGCAUAAAGUCUACGGACCAAAGCUGGGUGGUAACACCUGGCACUGUGAGAGGGGCCUGCGUCUGAUUAGCUAGUUGGUAGGGUAAAAGCCUACCAAGGCGAUGAUCAGUAGCUGGUCUGAGAGGAUGAUCAGCCACACUGGAACUGAGACACGGUCCAGACUCCUACGGGUGGCUG
This 327-nucleotide ribosomal RNA is filed under the name uncultured Pseudomonadota bacterium. RNAcentral's name for it is "bacterial SSU rRNA". It matches the Rfam family "Bacterial small subunit ribosomal RNA", at positions 30 to 351 of the family's 1533-position model. Lineage: Bacteria; Pseudomonadati; Pseudomonadota. The record is from RNAcentral.